CUCCUCCUUCUUCUUCUUCCUCUACUUCUUCUUCUUCUUCUUCCUCUACUUCCUCUUUUACUUCUCGUUCGUCUCUUUUAUGAUUUUUGUCCGUUCUUCCGUUCGGUCGCGUUAAAAUGAUAACAGUAGUAGGAUUCUACUUGCCCAAGUAGAAGAACGGUCUGUUCUUGUUUCGGUCUCGGGUUCGCAUUCGCGCAACCGAGACACGGACCGGCCGUCGAGUGGCCGCACUGACAUCGGGCUUCCGUCCCGAAGAGCUGCGCAUGCGGCACCAGCCGAGUGAUCGCACCCUUCCACUGCCGUAUCAUCCUCGGCUUGGUACCACCAUGGAUACCCUCUUAUUAUCAUACAACUUUCUUAUUCCUUUUUUCCUAUCCUCACCUUUCCCGUUUCUCCGAUAAUCCCUCAUUUCAUUCUAUUAUUCCAUACUGUUACUCGCUAAUGAAACAAUUGUUAUUUUUAAACCUACGCGAUUAGGGAGAGGAGAAUGUUAUUCGAAUCAUCAGUUUUCCCGGGUUACCAAAGAUUCAUCUUCCAUCAUUGCCCUCGUCGUCACCGUCAACGUAGUGCACGUAGUCGCGCUUGCUCUUUGUCGUCCUAUCUUUCCCUCUCCUUCUCACCCUAUCCUUCUUUCUCUUUCGAGAAGUCGACUCAGUCGCGUCCAAACGCGCUCCACCCUGCUGCUGCUUGCGAUCAGAUGUUCAACAUUUCCUUCUUUCGUCUUCUCUUGCUUUUUAGGUCCUUUGGGAUUUCAAUUUAAAACCUAUCCGAAUAUUCCUCGAUUCUGCGAUUAUUUUUUCGUUCUUUCAUUCGAUAUUUAUUUGAACAAGAGAGGAAAGGAAGAGGACGCGCGUUUCCCGCUUUUCUACUUACUCUCUAUAUUGUUUUAUUUCGAUUUUAAAUAUUAUCGGAAAAUAAUCGAAUAAUCCAUGGUAAUUUUGUUACGAUCGUUCAUUGCGAUCCAUAUCAAGAAUGAACGAAGCGUACAAUGAACGUCGUUAUUGGUCCUUUUUAAUGGGUAUACUUGUUUGUUUAUCGCGCAUCUACGAGAUCAAAUUGGGCUGGUUGGUUGUCGAAAAAGGAUUAGAAGAACGUGAAGACGUCAUCGUUGUCGAACCGUUGUACGAUAACGAUGACGAGGCAACGUCGUGCUGAAAAUGUGUUGAACGCGCCGACGCGCAUCAUCCACCUCCUUUGGUAUCGGUUAUUCUCUUAACAUUCCUUUCGCCUAGCUUGUGCUAAGAGAUUUGAUAUUUAUCAGCACAUUAUAAUGAUUAUUUUCUACUCGACACCACUUUUAUAGUAUAGCUCUAAUAACGAAACAUAAAUUACGAUGCUAAAGUAAGUCUAGCAUAACAGAAUCUACCAUAUCAUUGUCAAUAUUCCUGUGAUCCAACACAAAAGAAAUGUAUGAAAGCGAAUGAAACUUCCGCGUUAAUCGCAUGACAGGGUGGUGGUGGUGGUGGUGGUGUUUGUGAUUUUUCAAUAACGGAACGAGUGGGAAUCCUAGAGAGAAAUGUUUCCCGUCCUUUCCGAGUAAUCUUCGUCCCACAUUCUUCUUGCGCGUUUUUUUAACGACGUUCAACGUUCUAUUCAUUCGUACGAACCAAUACGGUGCCACGUACGCAACCACGCAUGCAACACAGCCACACACGCAGUCUUGCAAGCACGCACGCACGUGCCUACCACAAAGUUAGACGUUUCUGACGCGCGUUAUAUUGUCCGACGAAGCAUAAAUUAUACUACUCAAACGACCUCGAUCUAUCUUACAAAGGGAGGAUUAGACCUGUAGGACAGACCGAUUUUUUUAUAUGGGUCUAUUAGGAGCGUACACUGUGCAAACAUAGUUAAUAUGAGCCGCCAGCAGUGCAGCUGACAACGGCCUAGAUUUGUAACCGCGAGAUCGCUAAAUCGAAUCUCCCUUACAUUGGACGACUUUUUUUUUCACUUUAAUUUACAUUUUAUUUCCGUAGCUUUUCUAUUUUCGUUAGUAUAAAAUAUGUUUUGUUUUUAUAUAAAGAAGCUAUUUAAAGGGCUUUCGUAACAGGCGGAUGUUACUUGAAGAGGAAGAUAUCGAAAAAUAACACUACGAAUAAAAUAUAUUUUACAAUAACGGAAAAAUAAGAAAAAUACAGAAAUUAAAUUUAAAUUAAAGUAAAAAAAACAAAAGUCGUCCGAGUCGUUGUUAAUUUCAUGCACGAAGGGAUAGGAUCGAGUCAAGUUCGUGCAAUCGGUAGGCAUCGUCUAAGAUGAUAAAAACUGAUCGAAUAUAUUUAUUCUUAUAUUUGUUUUAUUUAUUAUGGACGGAGCACAAAGCAUCAUUUGCAAUCAAUGCAGUCUUAACAUAAAAUACAUACAUAUUUUAAUCUUAACAUUGGUAAAUGUUUUUCUAUCAAUUUGCAUGUAUUUUCUAUAAACGUGUGCAGCAGUUGAACACACACAGUUUACAUAGAACGUAAAAUAUUUUAAAACCUAUUUUUAAUUACAUUGCAAUGAAAAAUAUCUGCAUAUUAGGAUAAAGUCAAAACUACGCAAAAAAAAA
Long non-coding RNA from Polistes canadensis, 2542 nucleotides. RefSeq lists it as uncharacterized. The record is from RefSeq and is a predicted model, not a curated record. Lineage: Eukaryota; Metazoa; Arthropoda; Insecta; Hymenoptera; Vespidae. The transcript has 2 exons.